RNAcentral lists this ribosomal RNA (503 nucleotides) under uncultured bacterium. RNAcentral describes it as "bacterial SSU rRNA". It matches the Rfam family "Bacterial small subunit ribosomal RNA", at positions 28 to 524 of the family's 1533-position model. The record is from RNAcentral.
GAUGAACGCUAGCGGCAGGCUUAAUACAUGCAAGUCGUGGGGCAGCGCAGUGUAGCAAUACAUGGGCGGCGACCGGCAAACGGGUGCGGAACACGUACACAACCUUCCUUCAAAUGGGGAAUAGCCCAGGGAAACUUGGAUUAAUACCCCGUAACAUUAUGAAGUGGCAUCACUUUAUAAUUAUAGCUCCGGCGUUUGGAGAUGGGUGUGCGGCUGAUUAGGUAGUUGGCGGGGAACGGCCCACCAAGCCUUCGAUCAGUAACUGGUGUGAGAGCACGACCAGUCACACGGGCACUGAGACACGGGCCCGACUCCUACGGGAGGCAGCAGUAAGGAAUAUUGGGCAAUGGACGCAAGUCUGACCCAGCCAUGCCGCGUGGAGGAUGAAGGUCCUCUGGAUUGUAAACUUCUUUUCUCUGGGGACGAAAACNGGUAUUUCUUACUUGCUUGACAGUACCAGAGGAAUAAGCACCGGCUAACUCCGUGCCAGCCGCCGCCGUAAU